Molecule: long non-coding RNA, 1567 nt
Organism: Pangasianodon hypophthalmus (striped catfish)
Lineage: Eukaryota; Metazoa; Chordata; Actinopteri; Siluriformes; Pangasiidae
Exons: 3
Source: RefSeq, a predicted model, not a curated record
GAGAUUGUGGAGUGCAGAAAGACGUCCCUGCUCCUGUAAAUGUGCUGAUGUGGUGUCCUGUCCUCUGAUUUCUGUGUGUGAGAGAAACACACUGACAUUUCUGUUCCAUGUUAAACUUUAGCUGUAUUAUGGCUGUGUUUGUGUGUUUGAGAUCAGUGUUGUGAUAUUUCAUAAUUUCUCUUCCAGGCUGUGUGAGUGUAAUCUGACAGAGGAAAGCUGUAGAGUUCUGUCCUCAGUUCUCAGCUCAAACUCCUCCAGUCUGAGAGAACUGGACCUGAGUGACAACAAACUGCAGGAUUCAGGAGUGAAGCUGCUCUCUGCUGGACUGGAGAAUCCACACUGUACACUGGAGAUAUUGAGGAUGUAUACCUGCAGUAUUACAGAUGAAGGUUGCGCUGCUCUGGCUUCAGCUCUGAGGUCAAACUCCUCAUCACACCUGAGAGAAUUGAGUCUGAACGGUAAUAAUCCAGGAGAAUCAGGAGUGAAGCUGCUCUCUGAUCUACUGAAGGAUCAACACUGUAAACUGGAGACACUACACCUUAAGCGUCUACACACAACACAGAGAUAUCAUCACAUCAUCACACUGAUUACACAAAUACACAUCCAUGUGUUCUAGCUGUUUAUAGCUCAUUUUUACCUCCUUAUUUUUAUCUAACAUUUGUUUCUCCACAUAUGAUUGAGGAACAGUUGUAAUAUUCAAUUAAGUUCCUUGUUUGCUAAUGUAUUUUAAUAGUAACCAUGGUAACAGCUCUGUUGAUUGAUUUGUUGUUAUAGUGAUAAAAUGACCUCACUUCUAUUUGACUGGUUCCUUGGGUCCAGACCAGCAGGGUUCUUGUCCCAGACUUGAACCAUUUUUGCUGAACAAUAACUAGAUAUUUUCUGGUGAAAAGUACAGAAUGGUUCCAGCACUGGUACCUUAUUUCAGUACAGAAACAUACACAUUAUCUGAGUCUACACGAAAAUGUGUGUCUUGGGUCUAAAAUGUAAGUUCACAUCACUGAGCAUGACAUCACUUCCUGUACGCAUGACUACAAAAAUCACCUGAAGCUGAAGAAUGUAGAAGCAGCUGAAAUGUUAUGAUAUCAGAUUGUACUGAUUUUUCAUGAAGAACAGAAGCGUGAAAUAAAACUCUGCCUUCCUUCCUGCUAAUAAUCAUUAUGAUGAUGUUAAGAGAUUAAUAAUGUUCUUCUCUGGUGAUCAGUUCACACCAUUCCAGGAUUCAUUAUUCUGUAAUCUCACACCAGCUAAUUACAGUAAACAUGUAUAUGAGUGUAAGUAAGCUCAUGUGAUAAAACAAGUGAAAGAGCUGAACUAGAAAGUAACAUGUAUCACUGCAUCUAAGUUUGACUGUUUAAGAUAUUUAGAUUUUUAAAAAACUGUAACUGAAAAGCUUUAAGUACAUGCAUUGUAUAUAUUCCUGUCAUUUAAUACAGUUUUGUAUACAAGUUGUAUACGCUCACUGUCCACUUUAUUAGGAACACCUGUACACAUUCAUUCAUUCAGUUUACUGGCAAUUUGUAACUUCAAAUAUACAAUAUAUAAGCAAAUAAGCAAGAAAUAAAGGUGU